AUGGACGCCGGAGAUCCCCUGCUUCGGGCUACUCCCCUGCUCUCCCGCGCGUCCUCCUCCGCCGCCGCAGCUGCCUCCUCCGCCGCUCCCUUCUGCCUCCCGCAGCCCCCCACCCUCCCUUGCCUGCCUCCCGAAUCUUCCCUCUUUCACCCAAAAAUUGUUUCUUCUUCCUCCCGCCGUGUCUCCUGCUCGCGGCCACCCCCUCCCUCCUAG
This 213-nucleotide ribosomal RNA is filed under the name Triticum aestivum (bread wheat). RNAcentral describes it as "partial small subunit ribosomal RNA". Lineage: Eukaryota; Viridiplantae; Streptophyta; Magnoliopsida; Poales; Poaceae. The record is from RNAcentral.